RNAcentral lists this ribosomal RNA (484 nucleotides) under uncultured bacterium. RNAcentral's name for it is "partial 16S ribosomal RNA". It matches the Rfam family "Bacterial small subunit ribosomal RNA", at positions 29 to 507 of the family's 1533-position model. The record is from RNAcentral.
AUUGAACGCUGGCGGCAUGCUUUACACAUGCGAGUCGAACGGCAGCGCGGGCUUCGGCCUGGCGGCGAGUGGCGAACGGGUGAGUAAUACAUCGGAACGUGCCCAGUAGUGGGGGAUAGCUCGGCGAAAGCCGGAUUAAUACCGCAUACGACCUGAGGGUGAAAGCGGGGGAUCUUCGGACCUCGCGCUAUUGGAGCGGCCGAUGGCAGAUUAGCUAGUUGGUGGGGUAAAGGCCUACCAAGGCGACGAUCUGUAGCUGGUCUGAGAGGACGACCAGCCACACUGGAACUGAGACACGGCCCAGACUCCUACGGGAGGCAGCAGUGGGGAAUUUUGGACAAUGGGCGAAAGCCUGAUCCAGCAAUGCCGCGUGUGUGAUGAAGGCCUUCGGGUUGUAAAGCACUUUUGGCGGGAACGAAAAGGACUGUGCCAAUACCACGGUUCGAUGACGGUACCCGCAGAAUAAGCACCGGCUAACUACGUG